This 111-nucleotide transfer RNA is filed under the name Tetrapisispora phaffii CBS 4417. It matches the Rfam family "tRNA". From Rfam's summary of the family: Transfer RNA (tRNA) molecules are approximately 80 nucleotides in length. The record is from Rfam by way of RNAcentral. Lineage: Eukaryota; Fungi; Ascomycota; Saccharomycetes; Saccharomycetales; Saccharomycetaceae.
GGGCGUGUGGUCUAGUGGUAUGAUUCUCGCUUUGGGAAGUGCUUCCAGUACAAAUGGAAAGCACUAUUUUGAAUAUGCGAGAGGCCCUGAGUUCAAUUCCCAGCUCUCUCC